Molecule: transfer RNA, 67 nt
Filed under: Chaetopterus variopedatus
Lineage: Eukaryota; Metazoa; Annelida; Polychaeta; Chaetopteridae
Description: tRNA-Cys
Source: RNAcentral
GGCCCUGUAGUUGAAUUUUACAACAUCAAACUGCAAAUUUGACCGUGUGCUUCCUGCACCUUGGCUU